UACAGAGGGUGCAAGCGUUGUUCGGAAUUAUUGGGCGUAAAGCGCUGGUAGGUGGCUUGUUAAGUCGCGUGUGAAAGCUUCCGGCUCAACCGGAAAAGUGCGCGCGAAACUGGCGAGCUUGAGUGCCGGAGAGGGUCGCGGAAUUCCCAGUGUAGAGGUGAAAUUCGUAGAUAUCGGGAGGAACACCAGUGGCGAAGGCGGCGACCUGGACGGACACUGACGCUGAGACGCGAAAGCGUGGGGAGCAAACAGG
Molecule: ribosomal RNA, 253 nt
Filed under: uncultured bacterium
Lineage: Bacteria
Description: partial 16S ribosomal RNA
Rfam family: Bacterial small subunit ribosomal RNA
Source: RNAcentral